RNAcentral lists this ribosomal RNA (691 nucleotides) under Pleostigma alpinum. RNAcentral describes it as "SSU rRNA". It matches the Rfam family "Eukaryotic small subunit ribosomal RNA", at positions 48 to 982 of the family's 1831-position model. The record is from RNAcentral. Lineage: Eukaryota; Fungi; Ascomycota; Eurotiomycetes; Pleostigmataceae.
GCCAUGCAUGUCUAAGUAUAAGCAAUCUAUACCGUGAAACUGCGAAUGGCUCAUUAAAUCAGUUAUCGUUUAUUUGAUAGUACCUUUACUUGGAUAACUGUGGUAAUUCUAGAGCUAAUACAUGCUAAAAACCUCGACUUCGGAAGGGGUGUAUUUAUUAGAUAAAAAACCAAUGCCCUUCGGGGCUCCUUGGUGAUUCAUAAUAACUUAACGAAUCGCAUGGCCUUGCGCCGGCGAUGGUUCAUUCAAAUUUCUGCCCUAUCAACUUUCGAUGGUAAGAUAGUGGCUUACCAUGGUCUUAACGGGUAACGGGGAAUUAGGGUUCUAUUCCGGAGAGGGAGCCUGAGAAACGGCUACCACAUCCAAGGAAGGCAGCAGGCGCGCAAAUUACCCAAUCCCAAUACGGGGAGGUAGUGACAAUAAAUACUGAUACAGGGCUCUUUUGGGUCUUGUAAUUGGAAUGAGUACAAUUUAAAUCCCUUAACGAGGAACAAUUGGAGGGCAAGUCUGGUGCCAGCAGCCGCGGUAAUUCCAGCUCCAAUAGCGUAUAUUAAAGUUGUUGCAGUUAAAAAGCUCGUAGUUGAACUUUGGGUCUGGCUGAUCUGUCCUCCUAAUCGAGCGCACGGAUUCGGUCGGACCUUUCCUUCUGGGGAACCCUAUGCCCUUCACUGGGCGUAGUGGGGAACCAGGA